Molecule: ribosomal RNA, 440 nt
Filed under: uncultured bacterium
Lineage: Bacteria
Description: partial 16S ribosomal RNA
Rfam family: Bacterial small subunit ribosomal RNA
Source: RNAcentral
CCUACGGGUGGCAGCAGUGGGGAAUAUUGCACAAUGGGGGAAACCCUGAUGCAGCGACGCCGCGUGAGUGAAGAAGUAUUUCGGUACGUAAAGCUCUAUCAGCAGGGAAGAAAAUGACGGUACCUGACUAAGAAGCCCCGGCUAACUACGUGCCAGCAGCCGCGGUAAUACGUAGGGGGCAAGCGUUAUCCGGAUUUACUGGGUGUAAAGGGAGCGUAGACGGCAGCGCAAGUCUGGAGUGAAAUCCCAUGGCUUAACCAUGGAACUGCUUUGGAAACUGUGCAGCUAGAGUGCAGGAGCGGUAAGCGGAAUUCCUAGUGUAGCGGUGAAAUGCGUAGAUAUUAGGAGGAACACCAGUGGCGAAGGCGGCUUACUGGACUGUAACUGACGUUGAGGCUCGAAAGCGUGGGGAGCAAACAGGAUUAGAUACCCCAGUAGUC